CAAUGCCGGAUCCUUAACCUACUGAGCAAGGCCAGGGAUGAAACCGCAACCGCAUGGUUCCUGGUGGGAUUGGUUAACCACUGUGCCACGACGGGAACUCCAAAAAAGCCUCAAUGUUUUUUAAAUGAACACGGCCUUGGGAGAUCUUCCAUGAGAAGCUGGCGCCUUUGCAAAGGGGUCUUCGCUGUCUUCUUUGGGGAAACUGACUCAACUCUGCCUUCUGUCUGCGUGCCUGCGGUCCCCAACGGCAGGAAGACCUGUGGCCGCAGUGCAGAGGAUGCUGUGACGCUCACAGUGUUUUCUUUUCUCUCAUCACAGGUGGACGGGACGGACGAUGAAAGCUUGUGGAGCAUUGUGAGUCUGUGUGGCAGCAACCACGAAGAAAGUGAUACAGGUAAGAAUAGCUCUCAGGUAGGGGCCAGUGGGAGAGGGUUCGCGGGACACUUGGGUUAUGCCUGCUGCUUGGAGGGUGGGGCGGGUGAGUCUGCAAUUGAAAAACAGAAAGAAAUUGGUGUAAAGAUGUUCGUCGCCUAUUUUCCUAAGGAGGGGGAGCAGGUAUGAGAUGCCCGAAUGUUGGCAUCUGUGCUCGCAUUGUGUUGAAGGGUCUCAGUCCUGGAGCAGAGGGACGGUCUGGGCACCUGGAGGAAAAACCAGGGUGAUGCUCUGUGACCUGCUAUCACCUCGGGGAAGCGGGGGAAACGGGAGGGCCACUCCUUCUCACGCCUCGCUUCCCCGCGGUGUGUUUCUACAGACUUGGUGGCGGAGAGCACCGACUGCCGCCAGGAUGAGGAGGCUGCAGGUAGGGAAGAGCACACAGCUGGGAUCCAGGGGGAGAGGGUUCCUGGGAGCAGCUGGGUUCCACCUGCUGCCGGGAGAGGGAGGAAGGGGGGGAUAGGACUUGGCAGGUGGUGGGUGGGUGGCCUAAUGAGUGGAACCCUGAUGUGGUGUUUUCCCCUCCGAAAUUGAUAACACGAAGAAGACUUGUGUCCCUGGUCUUUGUCGUGCUGUGUUUGGAUUCCUGUCUCCUUCCUUUGAGAGGGAGAAUCGAUUUUCCCUCCCAAAGCUGCUCCUUCCAGCUCUUGUCUCUGGCCAUUGUGCCAGCUUGCUUUGUGGGUCGCACCCUGAGGGUCCUGUGCCCAAGAGCUGUUGACUUAGUUUCCUUUGUUGCCCUUGAGGGACCUGAUGUGGUGGGACGCAACCCUCUCCUAGGGCCUUGACCCUGGAGACCAAGUUCGUCUGGUGAGUGUGAGGUGGUGGGUGAGAAGGCGCUGUCUCCCUCUGGAUGUUCAGGAU
RNAcentral lists this long non-coding RNA (1293 nucleotides) under Sus scrofa (pig). Its description in RNAcentral is "lncRNA (ENSSSCG00070001618.1)". The record is from RNAcentral. Lineage: Eukaryota; Metazoa; Chordata; Mammalia; Artiodactyla; Suidae.